AAUCAGUUUCAACUCGACAGAGAAAGGUCCAGGACAGGUUUAGCCUAUCUUAGCACAAAGCAAUGUGCUUUCUAUGCUUGGUAUGGUUUGUUUAGGG
Molecule: long non-coding RNA, 97 nt
Organism: Sander lucioperca (pikeperch)
Lineage: Eukaryota; Metazoa; Chordata; Actinopteri; Perciformes; Percidae
Exons: 3
Source: RefSeq, a predicted model, not a curated record